GGAAUGUGGAUCUAAAUUACUGUGUUAUGUUACCUUGUUGAAAUCUUAUUGCUAAAAUUUUGCACUGCUAGGCAGUAAACCAGAAGAAAAAAAAUAAAUUGAGAAAGUGUUAAUUUUUAAGCAAGUUUGACAAAGAUUGAGUUUCAUAUGACAAAUAUUGUCAGCAAGACAGGAUUCUGUCAGUGGAAGAAGUUUAAACAUUAACAAUUUCUGUCAGGCUGUUGACACAAUCAUGGCAGACAUUUCCCAAGAUGCCGAGAUGACUGCUGGCAUUUGUCAACAAUCCUGUCAUAGUGACAGCAAUAAGACCAUGUCUGGAAAUGUGACAGUUUUGGCUUUGUGCUCCCCUGAGCAAUAGCCCAGGUGUUCAGAGAAAGUGUGGGAAAACCCAUAUUUCUGCAUUGUCAUUCGAACACAGAAAACACAGGAGGAAAAUGAGCUGUCACUCCAAUUCCCAUGAUGCCUUGCUGCUUAGCAUAACUCUACAGUGCGGCCCUGGGUCCACUGGUCCAUAUUCUGACAGAUAAUUAAGAAAGCAGCAGCUUUUUCUAGACGGCUCUUCCUCAUGAUUUGCAUUUUAGCCAGAGGCGACCAGUUAUAAAAAAACAUGAUGGAAAGAUGGUAAGAAGCCAAUUAGAUGGAUGGAUGGCUGACUGACAGCUCUCUGGUAUUACGACUCCAGAUUUCAGACUACAUAGCCUGGCAGUUUUCUACAAGAACCAACUUUUUGCAGCUCAAACCCUGGAGGGGUCAGCGGACUAACUGGGACCAACAGCCAUUAGCGAGGUACCAAGAAGCACAAGCAAAGAAAGAAGAUACAAGUGAUUCAAAUCUCAACAUCCUUAAAGGAAUUCUGAUUUCAAGUUUGAAAUAA
Molecule: long non-coding RNA, 874 nt
Filed under: Pan paniscus (pygmy chimpanzee)
Lineage: Eukaryota; Metazoa; Chordata; Mammalia; Primates; Hominidae
Description: lncRNA (ENSPPAG00000044834.1)
Source: RNAcentral